Daphnia pulex (common water flea) is the source of this 584-nucleotide long non-coding RNA. RefSeq lists it as uncharacterized. The record is from RefSeq and is a predicted model, not a curated record. Lineage: Eukaryota; Metazoa; Arthropoda; Branchiopoda; Diplostraca; Daphniidae. The transcript is spliced from 2 exons.
AAAAGUUGAAAGGUCCACCACUCAAACAGGUAAAGUAAAUAGGCGUUUUUACAACACACAGAGGCCAUGGUAUAAAACGCGAAACACUUGUUCACAUUUCAACAUUCAUCCAACUACAUUCUUCCUCUUCAGUCAACUAGCCAAAGUGUUAAAAAAACAAGGAAAAUGUUGCAAAACUCCAUGCUUCGAUUCGCCUUUGUGUUGGUCUUAUUGUGCGUCCUAUCCUCUUACUCGGCGAUGGCGUGUGAUUGCAAUUAUCACAGCGGCGGUUGCUCGAUUAGCAAGCCUGCUUCUUCGGGAAAUGCCUGCAAAUGCUCCUACAAAGGAUUUUACACUUGCAGUGGAAGCCAAACAGGUUGCCGGGAUCCCACAUCGCCUUACUGCAAAAAUCCCGAUACCUCUAUUCAAUCCUGUUUCCUGGGUGGCGGCGAUUGCGGCGGUUACUAAUAAUUGGCGCUCUCAUCAACCGAGUCAAUUGUCAUUUUGUGUGCCAAUUAUUUAUGAGAAAUGCCAAUUUGGAACGCAUUGCAAUAGUUUCCAAUCAAUUUUAUGUUAUGGGAAAAAUACACACGCUUUAAAAUCAA